GUCUAUAUACAGUACAAUAUCUGGUAUAAUUAAUAAAGAAACAUGAAGCCAGUUUUGUUAUCUAUCAAUAUUUUAUUUUAUCUACUCAUUUGUAAUAGAGCAGGAAGUUUUGAAUUUCUGAAGAAUUUUGUAUGCUACAUCUGCCCAAAUUCUUCACAACCAAUCUUUACAAGAUGGUUUUGUUGUCUGAUUUGCGUGAACUGCACCUCUAGUGAAAUAGAUUCAGUAAUAGUAAAUGCAGGAUGAUUGAUUUCCAUUCUAUAUUAUUUUAAUCUUCUGUCUCUUCAAUUGCGAAAUUUAAUGAUGUUUUUUUGAUAUGUUAUGCAUCAUUUCACUGAAUGAAAAAUCCCUUUGUCUGUUCUGAAAUUGUUUGUUGCUUCAUCACAACUUUAUUAUAUGUAUAAAUUUAUUGUUUCCUGU
This 420-nucleotide long non-coding RNA is filed under the name Androctonus crassicauda. Lineage: Eukaryota; Metazoa; Arthropoda; Arachnida; Scorpiones; Buthidae. The record is from RNAcentral.